RNAcentral lists this ribosomal RNA (36 nucleotides) under Cryptosporidium parvum. Its description in RNAcentral is "partial 28S ribosomal RNA". The record is from RNAcentral. Lineage: Eukaryota; Apicomplexa; Conoidasida; Eucoccidiorida; Cryptosporidiidae.
AUAUUAAUAAAAGACCUGAUAUUAAGUAAGAUUACC